CCCAGAGCUGAGCUCCGUCUGCCCUCCCCGGGGCCCGUGCAGCGGCCAGCGCGGGUCAUAAGCCCUGAGCCCCUGCUUAAUCUGCCAGAGCCCGACUCAGCGCCAGCGGACACGUGACGGCCCGCAGACCUGCUCGGCAGGAGCGGGCAGGCAGCGGGGGAGGGCCGUCCUCCCGGCCUGGGGGCUGUCCCUGCCGCGGCUCCAGCACGCAGCCUGCGGCCCCGGCUCCUGCACGCCGCCGGGAAAGGUAUGCACACAGGAGGAGGGGACGGGCAGAGCAGGGGGGUGAAGGGACUCGCGAGUCACCAAACUGCUGGGCAGGCUGGUGUGCAAGCAUGUGUGCCUGUGUGUGAAAUGGAACCCUCAUCUCACACCAUUUACCAACGCCAAGUACAGAUCUGAUGUAAAAGGUGAAUUCAUGACUGCACGGUAGGAAAGGCUUCUUAAAACACACUCACACAAAUGAAGUUAAGAUCACUCAAAUUAAGACCUCUGAGAGUGAAACGUUCAUUCUAAGACUCCAGGAAGACUGAAAAAUGCAAGAUAUUUACAACAUGUAUAACUGACGAAGGACUGGAAUCUGGAAUACCUAAAGAAUCCUCAAAAUCAACAGCAACAGCAGAAAAUCCGAGAAGACAGCCCGAGGUAGGCAGGAGGCUUCAGCAGUCCCAUCAAGAAGGAGAACCAAACAGCCAGUAAACGUAUGAACACGGCUCAGCCCCACCUGCAAGCAGGAAGGUGCGGAGUAGAACCGUUCGCCACCGGCCAGGCCCCUUGACCACGUCCAAGACCUGAUCCUAGUCCUGAAUCUGGAGAAGCAGAAUGAUGAAGCGCCGCCAUAACACCCUGGAGCAACUGUCUUUAUUAGAACAGCCUGGCACUGAGCGCUCUUCCAAAUCUACAUUACCAUCCUGAUAGCUUUCACUAAGUCCUUAGAUUUUUUUUUUUUUAAGUCAUUGGCUCUGGGAGUCCCGGAGCUAAAAUGGCCCUCCAGGGGAUCUCACCCGAGACACGGGACUCUUCUGGACCACCUCAGGGUGCAUACCUCCGGCAAGGAGAACUCACUGCUUGCUUUCUUGUUUGGCUCUAACUCAGCUCAGCACAACAAAGACUCGCAUUAGCCCCUGGCGCUGGGGAUCAGCAGGUGCCUGGGCCACUGUCCCACCCUCGGGGGAUUCAGAGUCUGGGGAGGAGGAGACUGUUGUCCCGCAGGAUUGCAGUGGCCCAGGCCCAAACUCGCAGACGGAAUGACAGGGGCCCAUCAAGAGCCUGUCUGUCUCGGUCUGCAGAGCCCGAGGGGAUUCUCAGGGUCAGGCCCCUCUGAGCACCUCCCCUAGGCCGUCUGAGUGUGCAAACUGCCCAGCUGUCCGGGCAUGAGGACCCCAGUCAUAGAAGGGACUCCAGCCUGCAGUGGGCAAGAGGGGGCAGCAUCUCCUGUGGGUGCUGCUGGCCGUGGGGCUGACAUCCUUGUUCUGAUCUUACAAUUCUAGAGCCUUCAGGCACAUUAGCAGACGGGUCCACGGCUUCCCAGAUGAAAUGGGAAAGAGUGAGACCCCGUGAUGAGGCCUGGCACAGAGCAGAGGCUGGAAAGACGUUUGCUGGGUUUGAACCGCGACCGUGCUGGGCCAGAAAGCCACAUGCACUCAGCUCUGAAAAGUCACCGCAAACUUGACUGCUUGCACCCUGCCUUUCUAAGCCGGCGCUUGCGUGGUACUCCACGGCGGAGUCCAGGCAGCGGGGGUGGGGUGAGGCGGUGGGUGUCCUGAGGUCAGGCCCACCUCUGGCCGUGCACACUGACCCCUCCCCAGUUCAGGGACGAUGGGACCCCAGGGAAGGAGGACACAGAUUCUGCCUGAGGUGACAUGGAUGCCUGAAGGCCAGCAAAGGUUUUUGGGUGGCAUCGGUGGGGUGGGCCUGGCAGGCACCAAAACGGGCGGGCCGAAGGCUGCCUCCAGUGGGCAGGCAGUGGGCACUGGAAGAUGCUGCUCCUAGAUGUGAGUCUGAGUUACACUUUACGGUGGCCAUGAACACCGUGAGCAACGGUAGGAGGUGGGAGCCCCGGCCUCUACAGGGACCUGCCCAUGUGAUGUUUCUUUUGUAUCAGAAACACGUCCUGACAGGGGCAAGCAA
This is a long non-coding RNA of Capra hircus (goat), 2130 nucleotides long. RefSeq lists it as uncharacterized. The record is from RefSeq and is a predicted model, not a curated record. Lineage: Eukaryota; Metazoa; Chordata; Mammalia; Artiodactyla; Bovidae. The transcript has 2 exons.